ACAGGGAGACAGGUGGUGCAUGGUUGUCGUCAGCUCGUGUCGUGAGAUGUUGGGUUAAGUCCCGCAACGAGCGCAACCCUUACGUUUAGUUGCUAACGGGAGAGCUGAGCACUCUAGACGAACUGCCGUUGACAAAACGGAGGAAGGUGGGAUGACGUCAAAUCAUCAUGCCCCUUAUACUCUGGGCUACACACGUGCUACAAUGGUCCGUACAGAGGGCAGCGAGCCGGUGACGGCAAGCGAAUCCCUUAAAGCGGACCUCAGUUCGGAUUGCAGGCUGCAACCCGCCUGCAUGAAGUCGGAAUCGCUAGUAAUCGCAGGUCAGCAUACUGCGGUGAAUACGUUCCCGGGCCUU
RNAcentral lists this ribosomal RNA (355 nucleotides) under uncultured Desulfurispora sp. Its description in RNAcentral is "bacterial SSU rRNA". It matches the Rfam family "Bacterial small subunit ribosomal RNA", at positions 1026 to 1382 of the family's 1533-position model. The record is from RNAcentral. Lineage: Bacteria; Bacillati; Bacillota; Clostridia; Eubacteriales; Desulfurisporaceae.